This 1540-nucleotide ribosomal RNA is filed under the name Klebsiella pneumoniae. RNAcentral describes it as "bacterial SSU rRNA". It matches the Rfam family "Bacterial small subunit ribosomal RNA". The record is from RNAcentral. Lineage: Bacteria; Pseudomonadati; Pseudomonadota; Gammaproteobacteria; Enterobacterales; Enterobacteriaceae.
AAAUUGAAGAGUUUGAUCAUGGCUCAGAUUGAACGCUGGCGGCAGGCCUAACACAUGCAAGUCGAGCGGUAGCACAGAGAGCUUGCUCUCGGGUGACGAGCGGCGGACGGGUGAGUAAUGUCUGGGAAACUGCCUGAUGGAGGGGGAUAACUACUGGAAACGGUAGCUAAUACCGCAUAAUGUCGCAAGACCAAAGUGGGGGACCUUCGGGCCUCAUGCCAUCAGAUGUGCCCAGAUGGGAUUAGCUAGUAGGUGGGGUAAUGGCUCACCUAGGCGACGAUCCCUAGCUGGUCUGAGAGGAUGACCAGCCACACUGGAACUGAGACACGGUCCAGACUCCUACGGGAGGCAGCAGUGGGGAAUAUUGCACAAUGGGCGCAAGCCUGAUGCAGCCAUGCCGCGUGUGUGAAGAAGGCCUUCGGGUUGUAAAGCACUUUCAGCGGGGAGGAAGGCGUUAAGGUUAAUAACCUUGGCGAUUGACGUUACCCGCAGAAGAAGCACCGGCUAACUCCGUGCCAGCAGCCGCGGUAAUACGGAGGGUGCAAGCGUUAAUCGGAAUUACUGGGCGUAAAGCGCACGCAGGCGGUCUGUCAAGUCGGAUGUGAAAUCCCCGGGCUCAACCUGGGAACUGCAUUCGAAACUGGCAGGCUAGAGUCUUGUAGAGGGGGGUAGAAUUCCAGGUGUAGCGGUGAAAUGCGUAGAGAUCUGGAGGAAUACCGGUGGCGAAGGCGGCCCCCUGGACAAAGACUGACGCUCAGGUGCGAAAGCGUGGGGAGCAAACAGGAUUAGAUACCCUGGUAGUCCACGCCGUAAACGAUGUCGAUUUGGAGGUUGUGCCCUUGAGGCGUGGCUUCCGGAGCUAACGCGUUAAAUCGACCGCCUGGGGAGUACGGCCGCAAGGUUAAAACUCAAAUGAAUUGACGGGGGCCCGCACAAGCGGUGGAGCAUGUGGUUUAAUUCGAUGCAACGCGAAGAACCUUACCUGGUCUUGACAUCCACAGAACUUUCCAGAGAUGGAUUGGUGCCUUCGGGAACUGUGAGACAGGUGCUGCAUGGCUGUCGUCAGCUCGUGUUGUGAAAUGUUGGGUUAAGUCCCGCAACGAGCGCAACCCUUAUCCUUUGUUGCCAGCGGUUCGGCCGGGAACUCAAAGGAGACUGCCAGUGAUAAACUGGAGGAAGGUGGGGAUGACGUCAAGUCAUCAUGGCCCUUACGACCAGGGCUACACACGUGCUACAAUGGCAUAUACAAAGAGAAGCGACCUCGCGAGAGCAAGCGGACCUCAUAAAGUAUGUCGUAGUCCGGAUUGGAGUCUGCAACUCGACUCCAUGAAGUCGGAAUCGCUAGUAAUCGUAGAUCAGAAUGCUACGGUGAAUACGUUCCCGGGCCUUGUACACACCGCCCGUCACACCAUGGGAGUGGGUUGCAAAAGAAGUAGGUAGCUUAACCUUCGGGAGGGCGCUUACCACUUUGUGAUUCAUGACUGGGGUGAAGUCGUAACAAGGUAACCGUAGGGGAACCUGCGGUUGGAUCACCUCCUUA